This 101-nucleotide transfer RNA is filed under the name Candidatus Naiadarchaeales archaeon SRR2090153.bin461. RNAcentral's name for it is "tRNA-Gly". The record is from RNAcentral. Lineage: Archaea; Nanobdellati; Candidatus Undinarchaeota; Candidatus Undinarchaeia; Candidatus Naiadarchaeales.
GCGUCCGUAGUCUAACCUGGUACGCUUGGUGCAGGAAAGGACACGAGCUUCCCAAGCUCGGUACUCGGGUUCAAAUAAACAUGGAAAUCCCGACGGGCGCA